CCUACGGGAGGCAGCAGUGAGGAAUAUUGGUCAAUGGACGAGAGUCUGAACCAGCCAAGUAGCGUGAAGGAUGACUGCCCUAUGGGUUGUAAACUUCUUUUAUAAAGGAAUAAAACGAGGCACGUGUGCCUUUUUGCAUGUACUUUAUUAAUAAGGAUCGGCUAACUCCGUGCCAGCAGCCGCGGUAAUACGGAGGAUCCGAGCGUUAUCCGGAUUUGUUGGGUUUAAAGGGAGCGUAGAUGGGUUGUUACGUCAGUUGUGAAAGUUUGCGGCUCAACCGUAAAAUUGCAAUUGAUACUGGCAGUCUUGAGUACAGUUGAGGUAGGCGGAAUUCGUGGUGUAGCGGUGAAAUGCUUAGAUAGCACGAAGAACCCCGAUUGCGAAGGCAGCUUACUAAACUGUGACUGACAUUGAUGCUCGAAAGUGUGGGUAUCAAACAGGAUUAGAGACCCCUGUAGUC
This 460-nucleotide ribosomal RNA is filed under the name uncultured bacterium. Its description in RNAcentral is "partial 16S ribosomal RNA". It matches the Rfam family "Bacterial small subunit ribosomal RNA", at positions 338 to 795 of the family's 1533-position model. The record is from RNAcentral.